GGUAGCACGACAGACUCUGACUCUGUUUGUUGGGGUUCGAAUCCCUAUUCCCCAGCCA
Molecule: transfer RNA, 58 nt
Filed under: Oscillospiraceae bacterium
Lineage: Bacteria; Bacillati; Bacillota; Clostridia; Eubacteriales; Oscillospiraceae
Description: tRNA-Ser
Rfam family: tRNA
About the family: Transfer RNA (tRNA) molecules are approximately 80 nucleotides in length. Their secondary structure includes four short double-helical elements and three loops (D, anti-codon, and T loops).
Source: RNAcentral